AGGGCACUAUUUAAAACAUCCUCAGUGACUUAGAAUGUGACUUGCAGAGCUGCAAUUGGAGCUGCUAAGGUUCUCUGAAGCAUGAGCGAUGAGAGCGAACUGGAACCGUUCUGUUCAGAGACUGUGUCCUCCAGGAAGCCUGCCAAGAUGGGCUAUCCUUGUCUGCUGGACCCUCCCUCAGGCUUCCAGGCAUUCAGGAAGGAUUACUCUUCGAAUAGAUAUUGCAGGAGCCUUCAGUAUGUGCCAAAACCCCACCCCACCGCUGCCCUGCUCACCACAAAAAUAUAAGGUGUUCAACAACUAAAGUUUGGAGAUCAAAGCCAGAAAGGUAACUAGGCUAAGGACUACCAAUGUUUUGGGCCUAGCCCCUCAAGGUCUACAAGAUCCAGUACACAAAGGAACCUUUCCUAUUGGAUCCUACAUCUUUGUCCCUUUCACAACCUGUAGGUGUUUGUAAAGUCAAGGAACAAGAUUUCUGCUCCAAGGGUAAUUGUAGAAGAAAGAACCACCCAGGAGAAGAUCGUGACCCAUGGGGAUCCACAGGAAACAAACAUGUGAGAGCCACUGGAGACCAAGGGAGUUCUUAUGUUUUAUAUCUUGAUGCCCCCACAAAGCCUCUUGUGCUCAUAGAUUGGGGCUUUUUGGAGGUGAUGGGUCAUCACUGAAUGACCCUCAUCAGUGGAUUGGUCUAGUGGUGAGUUUCUAGAUACAUGUGACGCUGGGAAGUGAAUCCUGGUGGGAGGAGGCGGAUCACUGGGGAUACUGGCUGUGUGGGAAGAUAGCCUUGCCUCUUCUCUUGAGUGUUCUUUUGUCCCACUGCCAUGCCAUGAGCUAUUUCUCCUAUGCGUGCUCUUCUGCCAGGCUCCCCUACGCCAGAGCCAGCUGACUAUCGACCAAAACUGUCAGCCACAACAAACUGUUCCUUCCUUAAGUUUUGGGUGUUGGACAUUGUGUCUCAGUGGCAAGGAAGUAAAGAGGACAGGGUGAUUGGGAUCAGCGAAUACGUCUUCUUAUUAGUUCAUCACCAGCUAGAUGCUCAAUAAUCACAACAUGAACUGCAAGUCCUCGUUCUUCUACUUGUCUGUAUCAUCUCCAAGUUCUUCAACCUAACCACAGAGUUCUCCAGAAAAACAAAAUAACUAAAUGUCUAAACCACCAUAGCAUUGUUAUUUACUGUAAUAAACAGUAAAGCCUUUAAUUUUGUUAUGAAAUCCUUGCUUACCAAUGGCUCAGAACCACUCACAUUGGCACACGUGGCUAUAGUACAUGAGGAGUUGAACUGCUACAAAGCAAACACUGACUUGCUUCACAGAAUAUCUGACUGCUCAGGGAACUUCUGCACACAUGCAUUCCAUCUUCCUACCCUUGAAGCAUCCCUCGUGUGGUUGGAAAGAGCAGACAGAAGAACCAUGUUGUAGUCAAGGACAAUGAGGUCAGUGAGUGUCAACUGUGAAAUCACAGAACAAUUGCUUAUCACAGUCAAGGCAAAGAUGCUUUCCUUUCAUUGCAAAUGUUGGUUCUUUUCUUUCGCCUCUUGCUACCACAUUCUCAGAGAGGAGAUUCCCAUACAUGCCCAGCAUCUAUGUUCUUUACCACCUCUCUCUAAAAUGAUGCUUUCCAGACGAGAUCAGGCCUGACCAUGGGGCUCUGGAAGUGGUGACAGUGAGCGACAGUGAUAACAGCUCCCAGAUCACUUCGGUUUCACGUCUCCUCACAGAAAAGGCAGAGAACCAGGAAGUGUUUCCCUUUAUUCAAACUCUAGCUUGCCCAAUGGACAGGGAGAGAAUACUUUCCAUUGUAUGGUUUGAGCGCAGUAACGAAGGCUGUGAAGGGAAACGGCCCUUCUCUGUCCUUUUCAUCUCAACAUUAGUGACAUGAAGCUAUGACAAGCUGAGGAUUGGCCUGUGAAGAAGUCCGUAGGAAAUUCUGCCCAAUCCAGGACCUGGUAAAAAGAAUGUGCCCCGUGGAGAGACGUUUUUUGUGCCACUUCAGAUGAAAGUUGUCGGAAGAGCAGGAGGAAUACUCUUCAGCAAGCAGCAGACUCAGAGGUUGU
This is a long non-coding RNA of Fukomys damarensis (Damara mole-rat), 2053 nucleotides long. RefSeq lists it as uncharacterized. The record is from RefSeq and is a predicted model, not a curated record. The transcript has 3 exons. NCBI's taxonomy places the organism in Eukaryota, Metazoa, Chordata, Mammalia, Rodentia, Bathyergidae.